Molecule: long non-coding RNA, 5352 nt
Filed under: Homo sapiens (human)
Lineage: Eukaryota; Metazoa; Chordata; Mammalia; Primates; Hominidae
Description: PREDICTED lncRNA (TCONS_00019902)
Source: RNAcentral
GCCCCCCAAAGUGCUGGGACUACAGGCGUGAGCCACCAUGUCUGGCCAGCAGCUUUACUUAUUUUAUUUUAUUUUAUUUUAUUUUAUUUUUUGAGACCGAGUCUCAUUCUGUUGCCCAGGCGAUCUGUUGCAGUGGGGCGAUCUCAGCUCACUGCAAGCUCUGCCUCCUGGGUUCACGUCAUUCUCCUGCCUCAGCCUCCCGAGUAGCUGGGACUACAGGCACCCACCACCACGCCCGGCUAAUUUUUUGUAUUUUUAGUAGGGCCAGGGUUUCACUGUGUUAGCCAGGAUGGUCUCAAUCUCCUGACCUCGUGAUCCACCUGCCUUGGCCUCCCAAAGUGCUGAGGUUACAGGCGUGAGCCACUGUGCCCGGCCAGCAGCUUUAUUUUAAAGUAGACAACCAUCCUAAGCUCGAAGUUUCUCUUGCUCAAGCACCAAUUCUGAUCCAUUUGUCUGUUUUUUCUUUCUUUCCUUCUUUUUUUUUUUUUUUUGAGACAGAGUCUCGCUCUAUUGCCCAGGCUGGAGUGCAGUGGCACAAUCUCAGCUCACUGUAAACUCCACCUUUUGGGUUCAAGCAAUUCUCCUGUUUCAGCCUCCAGAGUAGCUGGGACUACAGGCGUAUGCCAUCAUGCCCAACUAAUUUUUGUAUUUUGGUAGAGACAGGGUUUUGCCAUGUCGGCCAGGCUGGUCUCGAACUCCUCACCUCAAGUGAUCUACCCACCUCAGCCUCUCAAAGUGCUGGGAUUACAGGCGUGAGCCACCGUGCCCAGCCAUUUUUGUCUGCUAUUUGAUUCUUAAUAAUCCAACCUUGCCAAUAAACAGUUGGAAUCCUCUAACCCAGAAGAUCUAAGCAAUAUUUCCCCAACUUCCAUGACUAAUCCAGAAAGAUAUGCAAAGUCAUGAAAUGGUAUUGCCAUUAAUGUAUUCAAUAUUUAAUUUCUAACUACUUCAAAGCAUCCUCACCUGCCAUUCUCUCCAUGGCAAUACAAUUGGAGAUCAAAUCCUAUUUCCCUUAUCUGGGAUGCCAAGAGGACCGUUCCGAGUAAAUAAAAAUCAAUGCCUUUUUCUUACUUAUUUUCAGAUACCUCCAUUCUCUCCCUCUCUACCCUAGCCUCUCCUCUAACAAACUGCCCUAUCUCAGAGACCCAUCAUAAAAAAUGACUUGGCCUGUAUUAGAGAUUUUGGGGGUUGGGGAGGUAGGAAUGAUAGCUUCUGCAGAAAGAACAAUAAGAUCUGCUAAAGAAUUCCCCCAAAAAAGUGGUGACUGUAUAGUCAGAAGGGCAUGUUGGAUGGACAUUCUCUGCCUUUAGUCAGUAGCCACCCCAGAGAGUGAGCUGGUUGGGCCUGAAUAUCAUCUGCAGAGUUAACCUCCUUCCCCUUAAUGGGCGAGGUGUGGGGGAAGAGGGAUUAAAGUCAACAUAUGCACCGAGAACAUAAAUAAAAGAUAUCUAAAAUGAUACUUGGUUCCUCUAUCGUUAAAGUAAGGCUCCGAAAUCCCACACAUAACAGCUUCUUGUUAGCACCUGGUUCCCAAAGGGACUCAGAAAAAAUAAAAACAUUGCAAACAGGAAAAGAUUAUUUGACAGCAGAUAGAACAAUUUCAUCAUCACCCUUACCUAGGCUACUCCCCCUCACAUUUUCCUGUCAUCCCCAACAGCCCAGAAUAUUCUCCAAUCAUCUGGGAAGUGUUAAGUACUCAGAUCUGUGGAGAAAACAGAUCUGUGGAGAAAACCUAGCUAAGGUGGCCAGUAGCCAAGGUUAAUUUCCAAACUGAUAUUUUUGCCUAUAAAUCUCUAAUAACCAAUUCUGUUUGUUAAAUUUGGUUUGGGGAGUUAAAUUUUCAGUCUAUUUUGAGACCCAAGUGAUUCUGCUCCUCUGUAACACUGCAGCAAAUUACUUCACUAAUCAAGGUAAACAGAACCAUGUUAACUGUCAGGUUUUUUCCAAAUUAAAAAUGCAUGUUUUCCCCAUGACUGCUAAUUAAGAAAACCAUAUUCUAAACAGUCAUUCGAAUGUUUACUUGGCACAUCUCCCUCUGGUUUCUUCUAAUUUAUAACAAAGCAAGCAAGUCUAGAAUGAUGAGGGCCCAGUUUCAAAGGCAAUAACCUCUGUAACAUAACCUGUUCAUAACCUCUCUCUCUCCAUCCAUAUUCCCUUUCUUUGGGAAAAACUCCAUGCUGACAUACAAAGAAAACCCAGCAGGUAGGUGGUCAGGCGCAGUGGCUCACGCCUAUAAUCCCAGCACUUUGGGAGGUCGAGACAGGUGGAUCACCUGAGGUCAGGAGUUCAAGACCAGCCCGACUAACAUGGAGAAACCCCAUCUCUACUAAAAAUACAAAAUUAGCCAGGCAUUGUGGCGCAUGCCUGUAGUCCCAGCUACUCGGGAGGCUGAGGCAGGAGAAUCACUUGAACCCAGGAGGUAGAGGUUGCGGUGAGCCAAGAUCACGCCAUUGCACUCCAGCCUGGGCAACAAGAGUGAAACUCCGUCUCAAAAAAAAAAAGAAAAAGAAAAAGAAAACCCAGCAGUUAAACACUUUCCAAAAGUGUCUGGGCAGAGGAAGUGUAGGCAUAGUGGGAGAGAAAGGAAGAAGACAAAGUAGCCAGAAUCUUUGGUUCUUUAUGGCACUGACAGUUCUUAUUCCCUUUGUCAACACACACUGAGCACCCUAUAAGGCACAAAGCUCUGUAACAGACCCAAGCUUAAGGAAACAGAGCAAUUUACUCAUGCCAGAUCAAAAGGAAAUAAAACUAAACAACAUCAUCAGCAUUUACCUCCGACCCCCUUUUUGUUGCACAUAAGAGGAUAAGAUAUAAGCUCCACAGAAAAGCACAAUAUGUCCUAAAUGACACUUAGAAAAUUCAACAAAGUUUUAUAAAAUUAGAGUCUAGGCUGUGCGCGGGGUGGCUCACGCCUGUAAUCUCAGCAUUUUGGGAGGCCAAGGCGGGUGGAUCACCUGAGGCCAGGAGUUCCAGACCAGCCUGACCAACAUAGAGAAACCCUGUCUCUACUGAAUAUACAAAAUUAGCCGGGCGUGGUGGCGCGUGCCUGUAAUCCCAGCUACUCGGGAGGCUGAGGCAGGAGAAUAGCUUGAAACCGGGAGGUGGAAGUUGCGGUGAGUUGAGAUCACACCAUUGCACUCCAGCCUGGGCAACAAGAGCAAGACUCCGUCUCAAAAAAAAAAAAAAAAAAAAGAGAGACUGAGCUUGACAUUACAUAAAUGUUUGGAAACAAGUUUUUCUGACAAGAGACUACCCUCCUCACUGUAAUUUUAUGAAAUCCAGUCAGAGCAAAGUUUAUAUGUCAAGACCAGAGUUUCAUAGCCCCUAUAAGCCUUUUUCUGGCCACUUCCCAGCACUGUGGAAACACAGCCUGGAUUUUGGUUUUAUAUAUACUCCUCCCACAUAAACAAGUUUUCUUUCUUUUCUAUUUUUUUUUUAAUUGAGUUUCACUCUUGUUGCCCAGGUUGGAGUGCAAUGGUGCCAUCUCGGCUCAUUGCAACUGCCGCCUCCCGGGUUCAAGCGAUUCUCCUGCCUCAGCCUCCUGAGUAGCUGGGAUUACAGGCAUGUGCCACCACACCCAGCUAAUUUUGUUUUGUUUUGUUUGUUUGAGACAGAGUCUCACUCUAUCGCCCAGGCUGGAGUGCAGUGGCAUGAUCUUGGAUCACUGCAACCUCUGUCACCUGGGUUCAAGUGAUUCUACCGCCUCAGCCUCCCGAGUAGCUGGGAUUCCAGGUGCCUGCCACCUCGCCAGGUGAAUUUUUGUAUUUUUAGUAGGGUUUCACCAUCUCGGCCAGGCUGGUCUUGAACUCCUGACCUCAUGAUCCACCCACCUCAGCCUCCCAAAGUGCUGGGAUUACAGGCAUGAGCUGCCGGGUCUGGCCCUAAUUUUGUAUUUUUAGUAGAGACAGGGUUUCUCCAUGUUGGUCAGGCUGGUCUGGAACUCCUGGCCUCAGGUGAUCCGCUCGCCUCGGCUUUCCAGUUCAGUUUUUAAAAACUCUAUUUCAAUUUCCUUUUUUUUUUUUUUUGAGACAGAGUCUGGCUCUGUUGCCCAGGCUGGAGUGUAAUGGUGCGAUCUCAGCUCACUGCAACCUCCGCCUCCCGGGUUCAAGCGAUUCUCCUGCCUCAGCCUCCCAAGUAGCUGGGAUUACAGGCAGGUGCCACCACGCCCGGCUAAUUUUUUGUAUUUUUGUUUGUUUGUUUUGUUUUUUUGAGACAGAGUCUCACUGUGUCGCCAGGCUGGAGUGCAGUGGCACGAUCUUGGCUCACUGCAACCUCCACCUCCCAGGUUCAAGCAAUUCUCCUGCCUCAGCCUCCCAAGUAACUGGGACUACAGGCGUGUGCCACUAUGCCUGGGUAAUUUUUGUAUUUUUAGUAGAGACGGGGUGUCACCAUGUUGGCCAGGAUGAUCUUAAUCUCUUGACCUUGUGAUCCGCCUGCCUCUGCCUCCGAAAGUGCUGGGAUUACAGGCGUGAGCCGCUGCGCCCGGCCAAUUUUUUGUAUUUUUAGUAGAGAUGGAGUUUCACCGUGUUAGCCAGGAUGUUCUUGAUCUGACCUCGUGAUCCGCCCGCCUCGGCCUCCCAAAGUGUUGGGAUUACAGGCGUGAGCCACCACGCCUGGCCUAGUUUCCUUUUUCCUUUGAGAUACAGUCUUGCUCUGUCACUCAAGCCUGGAGAGCAGUGGUGCAACCAUGGCUCACUGCAGUUUUGACCUCCAAGGCACAAGCGAUCCUCCCACCUCAGCCUCCUGAGUAGCUGGAACCAUAGGUGCCUGUCACCAUACUUGGCUAAUUUUUAAAUUUUUUGUAGACACAGGUUUCUAUGUUGCCCAGGCGCAUCUCAAACUCCUGGACUCAAGCAAUUCUCCCAUUUCAACGUCCCAAAGUGUUGGGAUUACAGGUGUGAGCCACCACACGCAGCUUAUUUCAGUUUCUUACACAAGCAUCUGAACUAUAGACACAUAAUGGAUAAGUAUCUGUCAGACAAUCAAAAAUUUCUUCUCAGUGAUGUGGUGGCAUAUGCCUGUCCUCCCAGCUACUCAGGAGGCUGCGCCCUGGAGGCGGAGGUUGCAGUGAGCCAAGAUUGCACCACUGUACUCUAGCCUGGGUGACAGAGUCAGACCGUGUCUCAAAAAAAAAAAAAAAAAGGGAAAAUUCUCUUCAGUGAAAUUAACUUAAGGUUGGGAGUUCCUGCUCCUUUGGAAAUGGACUAUAUUCCUUUUCUCUUCCCCAAAGCUUGUCUAACUUCCCUUCCAAUUGGUUUUUCCAACAGAUACGCAUCAUAAAUCUAAGGGGCAUUUUCAGGUCACUUGAUGGUAUAAUUAUUAAAGGCAUAUAUAUUGGUGCAUAUAUAUUAG